Non-coding RNA from Heterocephalus glaber (naked mole-rat), 72 nucleotides. The record is from Rfam. NCBI's taxonomy places the organism in Eukaryota, Metazoa, Chordata, Mammalia, Rodentia, Bathyergidae.
GGGAGAGUAGCUCAGUGGAAGAGCUCCUGCCUUGCAUACAUGUGGCCCUGAGUUUGAUUCCCAGCCCUGCUA